This 493-nucleotide ribosomal RNA is filed under the name uncultured bacterium. Its description in RNAcentral is "bacterial SSU rRNA". It matches the Rfam family "Bacterial small subunit ribosomal RNA", at positions 30 to 504 of the family's 1533-position model. The record is from RNAcentral.
CGAACGCUGGCGGCGUGGAUUAGGCAUGCAAGUCGAACGAUCUGCUGUAAUGCAGAUAGUGGCAAAAGGGUGAGUAACGCGUGGGUAAUUUACCUUUAGGUUCUGAAUAACUUGCCGAAAGGCGAGCUAAUACUGGAUAAGACCACGCCCCGUAUAUCGGGGUGAGGUUAAAGCUGGGGACCCCAACAGGGCCCGGCACCUUUAGAUGAGCCCGCGUCCUAUCAGCUUGUUGGUGGGGUAAUGGCCCACCAAGGCAUUUGACGGGUAGCUGGUCUGAGAGGAUGGUCAGCCACACUGGGACUGAGACACUGCCCAGACUCCUACGGGAGGCUGCAGUCGAGAAUCUUUUGCAAUGCGGGAAACCGUGACAAUGCGACGCCGCGUGAGCGAUGAAGGUCUUCGGAUUGUAAAGCUCUGUCAGCCUGGAUGAAAGUUUCAGAGGUAAUAUCUUUGAAAUCUGACGGUACAGGCAAAGGAAGCUACGGCUAACUCC